Molecule: long non-coding RNA, 223 nt
Filed under: Elaeis guineensis (African oil palm)
Lineage: Eukaryota; Viridiplantae; Streptophyta; Magnoliopsida; Arecales; Arecaceae
Description: long non-coding RNA (EGUI_LNC060206)
Source: RNAcentral
CUCAAUAAAUUUCUAAUCCAAUUAGAAAUUAACUGAAUCCAAAUUCUGAUUGAAUCAGAAAUUAGUUUUCCUUGCAUUCAAGCUGGAUCCAAUCAAAUCCAAUCCAAGUCAAACUGAAUCCAAUUCAAUUAGACUUAAUUUGAACCUCAUUGCUCAAUACAAUUGAGCCAAUUAGCAAUUCAAUUACUGAUUAAUACUCCUAUAAUUUACUAACACUUAGUGG